AUGCAGGGUUUGCCAGGUAUAGGCCGUGCGACAGCGGUCACCGGAUCCAAGAAUUGCAAGCUUCCUUCUGCCAGACCGAGCGGACACGAGGAGUUUGUGCGGCGGUGUGCAUGGCCACACGUGUGCCAUGAACUACAUCACACAUGGACGUGGCCGCAUCCUGACGUGUGCCCUCGCCGUGAGCACGUUGCACAGAGGGUUUCGUCUCCAUCUGUCCAAGUGUCAUGUUCCAUGCUGCGAAAUAAAAUUUUGUUUACAGGCGACGUAGAAACAAACAAGAAUCUAGAUCGGACGCGGCUAAUCUGCACCUGGACUCAUCUGCACCCCCCUCACGAAAAAAAUCAAAACAAAUAA
This 354-nucleotide ribosomal RNA is filed under the name Triticum aestivum (bread wheat). RNAcentral's name for it is "partial small subunit ribosomal RNA". The record is from RNAcentral. Lineage: Eukaryota; Viridiplantae; Streptophyta; Magnoliopsida; Poales; Poaceae.